RNAcentral lists this small nuclear RNA (326 nucleotides) under Jaculus jaculus (lesser Egyptian jerboa). RNAcentral describes it as "7SK RNA (ENSJJAG00000005713.1)". It matches the Rfam family "7SK RNA". Rfam says of the family: 7SK was discovered as an abundant small nuclear RNA in the mid-70s but a possible function has only recently been suggested. Lineage: Eukaryota; Metazoa; Chordata; Mammalia; Rodentia; Dipodidae. The record is from Rfam by way of RNAcentral.
GGAUAUGAGGGUGGUCUGGCUAUGACUUCUGUCACCUACUGAUUUUCAGGUUUGAUUCCACUAUCGAGCUGGCUAUCUGUGGGUCUUCUUCCUCCCUCACUGCUUCAUUAAGUUCUUUCCCACAGCUAUUGUGUGGUUGGUUAAAAUGGACAAUUUGGACAACUUUCCCCGAGUAGAGGAGGACCAGUCUUCAGUCAAGGGUGUAUGAAUAGAUGUGCUCCUCUGCUAGAACCUCCAAACAAGCUCUUAAAUAUUUAAAUGGUUUCAAAAACCUAGAUUUUUUUUAAACUCCUACAAAACCAGAGAUCCAGUGACCCAGAGGCUCU